AAACCUCACAGGGGGCGCGUCCUCCGGGGAAACAGAAACUACUUUGGUUGCUCCUGUGGCCACUGUAACUUUCUAUUUUCUUCAAAAGGGGAAAAAAGUUAACAUCCAAGUUGGAUUUUAUGGCUGAUCUUGGAAGCUGAGCAGGGUCGUCUCCGAUUAGCCCUUGCUUUGGGUCGCUGUGAGUUUUCCGGGCAGUAUGACCCAUGUUCCAGAAGCAUUCUCUCCUGACGUUUCGCCCACAUCUGUGACAGGCACCCUCAGAGGAUGUGAGGAGUGAAUUUCCUUCCAAUUGGAAAGAAGAGGACAAUCCCUAUUCAAACCAACAUUUUCCAGGAUCAACUAGCAAAUCCCUGUUUCGGCCUAAUGUGGAUUUGGUUCUCCUUUCCAAGAUGUAAUCCUGAAGCAUGAAGUCCGCUGGAUAUUCAAACCAUUUUUAACUCCCCACUUUCUAUGUUCUUUCCAGCCAAGUGGUAACCAACUUGGUGACUUUAAGCAAGUCAUACUCUCUCAGCUUCUGAGGAAAGAAGUGGCAAGCCCCUUCUGAAUAAAGCUUUCCAAUAAAGCCACUUAGAAUUGCCCUUCAAAAGGCAGCAUGGUAUAGUGAUUUGGAUGUUGGAGUAUGACUCUGGAGACCAAGGGUCAAUUUUCCUCCUCAGUCAUAGGAACCCACUGAGUGACCUUAGGCAAGUCACACUCUCUCAGCUUCUGAGGAAAGCAAUGGCAAACCCCUCCUGAACAAAUCUUGCCAUUAAAACUGUAACGUGUCUCUCUUAGGGACAUCCUCCAAGACCCAGCUUGGUGUAGUGGUUUGAGCACUGAGUAUGAAUUUCCUGCCCCGCCAUAGAAAACCACUGGUUUUGGGCAGGUCACGCUCCCUCAUCCUCAGAGAAAGGCAAAGAUGAAUCCUGUGAUUUUAGGCCAUCAUAAGUUGGAAAGGACUUGAAGGCACAGUGGCAUCACUAGUGGGGUAUGUGGGAUACAAACUGCACUGAGACUACUUAAUUAAAAAUGUUUUGAAUCA
This is a long non-coding RNA of Anolis carolinensis (green anole), 1021 nucleotides long. RefSeq lists it as uncharacterized. The record is from RefSeq and is a predicted model, not a curated record. Lineage: Eukaryota; Metazoa; Chordata; Lepidosauria; Squamata; Anolidae. The transcript has 3 exons.